RNAcentral lists this ribosomal RNA (316 nucleotides) under uncultured bacterium. Its description in RNAcentral is "bacterial SSU rRNA". It matches the Rfam family "Bacterial small subunit ribosomal RNA", at positions 28 to 334 of the family's 1533-position model. The record is from RNAcentral.
GAUAAACGCUGGCGGCGCACAUAAGACAUGCAAGUCGAACGGACUUAACUCAUUCUUUUAGAUUGAGAGCGGUUAGUGGCGGACUGGUGAGUAACACGUAAGCAACCUGCCUAUUAGAGGGGAAUAACAGUGAGAAAUCAUUGCUAAUACCGCAUAUGCUAACAGUAUCGCAUGAUACAGUUAGGAAAGGAGCAAUCCGCUAAUAGAUGGGCUUGCGUCUGAUUAGCUAGCUGGUGAGGUAGAGGCUCACCAGGGCGACGAUGCGUAGCCGGCCUGAGAGGGUGGACGGCCACACUGGGACUGAGAUACGGCCCAG